GAGGAAUAUUGGACAAUGGGCGCAAGCCUGAUCCAGCCAUGCCGCGUGCAGGAUGACGGUCCUAUGGAUUGUAAACUGCUUUUGUACGAGAAGAAACACUGAUUCGUGAAUCAGCUUGACGGUAUCGUAAGAAUAAGGAUCGGCUAACUCCGUGCCAGCAGCCGCGGUAAUACGGAGGAUCCAAGCGUUAUCCGGAAUCAUUGGGUUUAAAGGGUCCGUAGGCGGUUUAGUAAGUCAGUGGUGAAAGCCCAUCGCUCAACGGUGGAACGGCCAUUGAUACUGCUGAACUUGAAUUAUUAGGAAGUAACUAGAAUAUGUAGUGUAGCGGUGAAAUGCUUAGAGAUUACAUGGAAUACCAAUUGCGAAGGCAGGUUACUACUAAUUGAUUGACGCUGAUGGACGAAAGCGUGGGGAGCGAAC
Molecule: ribosomal RNA, 420 nt
Filed under: uncultured bacterium
Lineage: Bacteria
Description: bacterial SSU rRNA
Rfam family: Bacterial small subunit ribosomal RNA
Source: RNAcentral